This 72-nucleotide transfer RNA is filed under the name Stegodyphus mimosarum. RNAcentral describes it as "tRNA-Met for anticodon CAU". It matches the Rfam family "tRNA". From Rfam's summary of the family: Transfer RNA (tRNA) molecules are approximately 80 nucleotides in length. Their secondary structure includes four short double-helical elements and three loops (D, anti-codon, and T loops). The record is from Rfam by way of RNAcentral. Lineage: Eukaryota; Metazoa; Arthropoda; Arachnida; Araneae; Eresidae.
GCCUUCGUGGUGUAACGGUUAGCACACUCGGCUCAUAUUCGAGAGGUCCAGGUUCGAGUCCCGGCGAGGGCA